This 443-nucleotide ribosomal RNA is filed under the name uncultured bacterium. RNAcentral's name for it is "bacterial SSU rRNA". It matches the Rfam family "Bacterial small subunit ribosomal RNA", at positions 338 to 795 of the family's 1533-position model. The record is from RNAcentral.
CCUANGGGUGGCAGCAAUUAGGAAUCUUGCGCAAUGGGCGAAAGCCUGACGCAGCGACGUCGCGUGACCGAUGAAGUCUUUCGGGAUGUAAAGGUCUUUUUUGGGGGAAGAAGGAUGUGACGGUACCCCAAGAAUAAGCCCCGGCUAACUACGUGCCAGCAGCCGCGGUAAUACGUAGGGGGCGAGCGUUGUCCGAAUUCACUGGGCGGAAAGCGCGCGUAGGCGGGUUAUUAAGUUGGAGGUGAAAUCCCGGGGCUCAACCCCGGAACUGCCCCCAAAACUGGUAGUCUUGAGGUAUGGAGAGGGAAGCGGAAUUUCUGGUGUAGCGGUGAAAUGCGUAGAUAUCAGAAGGAACAUCAGUGGCGAAGGCGGCUUCCUGGUCCAGUACCGACGUUCAGGCACGAAAGCGUGGGGAGCAAACAGGAUUAGAUACCCUUNUANUC